GGAGCCGUGGUCUAGUGGUUAUGACGCCGCUCUUACACAGCGGACAUCGAGAGUUCAAUUCUCUCCGGCUCCA
This 73-nucleotide transfer RNA is filed under the name Promethearchaeota archaeon. RNAcentral's name for it is "Candidatus Lokiarchaeota archaeon tRNA-Val". It matches the Rfam family "tRNA". Rfam says of the family: Transfer RNA (tRNA) molecules are approximately 80 nucleotides in length. Their secondary structure includes four short double-helical elements and three loops (D, anti-codon, and T loops). Further hydrogen bonds mediate the characteristic L-shaped molecular structure. tRNAs have two regions of fundamental functional importance: the anti-codon, which is responsible for specific mRNA codon recognition, and the 3' end, to which the tRNAs corresponding amino acid is attached (by aminoacyl-tRNA synthetases). tRNAs cope with the degeneracy of the genetic code in two manners: having more than one tRNA (with a specific anti-codon) for a particular amino acid; and 'wobble' base-pairing, i.e. permitting non-standard base-pairing at the 3rd anti-codon position. The record is from RNAcentral. Lineage: Archaea; Promethearchaeati; Promethearchaeota.